This 73-nucleotide transfer RNA is filed under the name Mycobacteriales bacterium. RNAcentral's name for it is "tRNA-Thr". It matches the Rfam family "tRNA". Rfam says of the family: Transfer RNA (tRNA) molecules are approximately 80 nucleotides in length. Their secondary structure includes four short double-helical elements and three loops (D, anti-codon, and T loops). The record is from RNAcentral. RNAcentral also lists the same sequence under 2 other names. Lineage: Bacteria; Bacillati; Actinomycetota; Actinomycetes; Mycobacteriales.
GCCCUCUUAGCUCAGUCGGCAGAGCGUCUCCAUGGUAAGGAGAAGGUCUAGGGUUCGAUUCCCUAAGAGGGCU